CCUACGGGAGGCAGCAGUGGGGAAUAUUGGGCAAUGGGCGCAAGCCUGACCCAGCCACGCCGCGUGAAGGAAGAAGGCCUUCGGGUUGUAAACUUCUUUUGUCAGGGACGAAGGAAGUGACGGUACCUAACGAAUAAGCCACGGCUAACUACGUGCCAGCAGCCGCGGUACUACGUAGGUGGCAAGCGUUAUCCGGAUUUACUGGGUGAAAAGGGCGUGUAGGCGGGUGUGCAAGUCAGACGUGAAAUUCCAGGGCGAAACCGCGUACUGCCGUUGAAACUGCAUCCCUUGAGUGCGCGAGAAGUGUGCAGAAUGCGAGGUGUAGCGGUGAAAUGCAUAGAGAUCAGGCAGAACUCCGAUUGCGAAGGCAGCAUACCGGAGCGAAACGGACGCUCAGGCACGAAAGCGUGGGUAGCGAACAGGAUUAGAUACCCCUGUAGUC
RNAcentral lists this ribosomal RNA (442 nucleotides) under uncultured bacterium. RNAcentral's name for it is "partial 16S ribosomal RNA". It matches the Rfam family "Bacterial small subunit ribosomal RNA", at positions 338 to 795 of the family's 1533-position model. The record is from RNAcentral.